GAGGUAAUGGCUCACCAAGGCGACGACGGGUAGCCGGCCUGAGAGGGUGACCGGCCACACUGGGACUGAGACACGGCCCAGACUCCUACGGGAGGCAGCAGUGGGGAAUAUUGCACAAUGGGCGCAAGCCUGAUGCAGCGACGCCGCGUGAGGGAUGACGGCCUUCGGGUUGUAAACCUCUUUCAGUAGGGAAGAAGCGAAAGUGACGGUACCUGCAGAAGAAGCGCCGGCUAACUACGUGCCAGCAGCCGCGGUAAUACGUAGGGCGCAAGCGUUAUCCGGAAUUAUUGGGCGUAAAGAGCUCGUAGGCGGUUUGUCGCGUCUGCCGUGAAAGUCCGGGGCUCAACUCCGGAUCUGCGGUGGGUACGGGCAGACUAGAGUGAUGUAGGGGAGACUGGAAUUCCUGGUGUAGCGGUGAAAUGCGCAGAUAUCAGGAGGAACACCGAUGGCGAAGGCAGGUCUCUGGGCAUUAACUGACGCUGAGGAGCGAAAGCAUGGGGAGCGAACAGGAUUAGAUACCCUGGUAGUCCAUGCCGUAAACGUUGGGCACUA
RNAcentral lists this ribosomal RNA (552 nucleotides) under uncultured Actinomycetes bacterium. RNAcentral's name for it is "bacterial SSU rRNA". It matches the Rfam family "Bacterial small subunit ribosomal RNA", at positions 254 to 818 of the family's 1533-position model. The record is from RNAcentral. Lineage: Bacteria; Bacillati; Actinomycetota; Actinomycetes.